This 583-nucleotide ribosomal RNA is filed under the name Rhynchophion flammipennis. RNAcentral's name for it is "eukaryotic LSU rRNA". The record is from RNAcentral. Lineage: Eukaryota; Metazoa; Arthropoda; Insecta; Hymenoptera; Ichneumonidae.
CCUGAGAAACCCAAAAGAUCGAAUGGGGAGAUUCAUCGUCAGCGAUCCUGGCACGUGUGCGGUUCGUGAUGCCAUAAGACUUCGGUCUUGAGGUACACGUCCGUGUGGGUUUUUGCCUGGUGUCGUCGGCGUGCACUUCUCCCCUAGUAGGACGUCGCGACCCGUUGGGUGUCGGUCUACGGCCCGGGUGGGUGCCUGUCAUGUGUACGACGCUUCACGGNGUCAUGUGGGUGACAGACCCCCGGUUGUCUGACCAGCUGCCCGGCGGUACUCGCACGGUAUUGAGCCGCAAAUUCGAACUGCGUCCGGCCCGCCGCAAGCGAGGCCAGUGUUUCCCGGAUGUACGGACCUAGUGCCGUCACCGGGCCUGGCCAGCUGUUGGUUGGCGGUGUCCUAGGACUGGCUUUUAACGAUACCGGUCGGCGACGCUACUGCUUUGGGUACUUUCAGGACCCGUCUUGAAACACGGACCAAGGAGUCUAACAUGUGCGCGAGUCAUUGGGACUUGUUAAGCCUAAAGGCGUAAUGAAAGUGAAGGUCGGGCUUGCUCCAACCGAGGGAGGAUGGGCCGCGUCACGAUGCG